This 362-nucleotide ribosomal RNA is filed under the name uncultured bacterium. Its description in RNAcentral is "bacterial SSU rRNA". It matches the Rfam family "Bacterial small subunit ribosomal RNA", at positions 29 to 407 of the family's 1533-position model. The record is from RNAcentral.
AACGAACGCUGGCGGCAUGCCUAACACAUGCAAGUCGAACGGGAUCCUGGUUUCGGCCAGGUGAGAGUGGCGGACGGGUGAGUAACGCGUGGGAACCUGCCCAGUGGUGGGGGAUAACUGCGGGAAACUGCAGCUAAUACCGCAUGAGCCCGAAAGGGGAAAGAUUGAUCGCCAUUGGAGGGGCCCGCGUUCGAUUAGGUAGUUGGUGAGGUAACGGCACACCAAGCCUUCGAUCGANAGCUGGUCUGAGAGGAUGAUCAGCCACACUGGGACUGAGAUACGGCCCAGACUCCUACGGGAGGCAGCAGUGGGGAAUAUUGGACAAGUGGGGGCAACCCUGAUCCAGCAAUGCCGCGUGAGUG